CGGAUUGUAGUCUGNAACCCGACUACAUGAAGCUGGAAUCGCUAGUAAUCGCAGGUCAGCAUACUGCGGUGAAUACGUUCCCGGGCCUUGUACACACCGCCCGUCACACCAUGGGAGCCGGAAAUGCCCGAAGCCAGUGACCCAACCUUAGGGAGGGAGCUGUCGAAGGUGGAGCCGGUAACUGGGGUGAAGUCGUAACAAGGUAAC
Molecule: ribosomal RNA, 207 nt
Filed under: uncultured bacterium
Lineage: Bacteria
Description: partial 16S ribosomal RNA
Rfam family: Bacterial small subunit ribosomal RNA
Source: RNAcentral